GACGAACGCUGGCGGCGUGCCUAAUACAUGCAAGUCGAACGCACUCUCGUUUAGAUUGAAGGAGCUUGCUCCUGAUUGAUAAACAUUUGAGUGAGUGGCGGACGGGUGAGUAACACGUGGGUAACCUGCCCUAAAGUGGGGGAUAACAUUUGGAAACAGAUGCUAAUACCGCAUAAAACCUAACACCGCAUGGUGUAGGGUUGAAAGAUGGUUUCGGCUAUCACUUUAGGAUGGACCCGCGGUGCAUUAGUUAGUUGGUGAGGUAAAGGCUCACCAAGACCGUGAUGCAUAGCCGACCUGAGAGGGUAAUCGGCCACACUGGGACUGAGACACGGCCCAGACUCCUACGGGAGGCAGCAGUAGGGAAUCUUCCACAAUGGACGAAAGUCUGAUGGAGCAACGCCGCGUGAGUGAAGAAGGUUUCGGAUCGUAAAACUCUGUUGUUGGAGAAGAAUGUAUCUGAUAGUAACUGAUCAGGUAGUGACGGUAUCCAA
RNAcentral lists this ribosomal RNA (494 nucleotides) under uncultured bacterium. RNAcentral describes it as "bacterial SSU rRNA". It matches the Rfam family "Bacterial small subunit ribosomal RNA", at positions 28 to 482 of the family's 1533-position model. The record is from RNAcentral.